This 72-nucleotide transfer RNA is filed under the name Camelus bactrianus (Bactrian camel). It matches the Rfam family "tRNA". Rfam says of the family: Transfer RNA (tRNA) molecules are approximately 80 nucleotides in length. Their secondary structure includes four short double-helical elements and three loops (D, anti-codon, and T loops). Lineage: Eukaryota; Metazoa; Chordata; Mammalia; Artiodactyla; Camelidae. RNAcentral also lists the same sequence under 1 other name. The record is from Rfam by way of RNAcentral.
UGGGGUGGAGGUCAGGGGUAGGACGCGUGCUUGGCAUGCACGAGGUCCUGGGUUCAGUCCCCUGUGCCUCAC